GCACAGGGGGCAGUGGGGGGGGGGCAGGGCCAUUCCCCCUCCCGGGCCCCAGGACUCCCCACGCAGUCCGGGGCCAGCUGUGCCUGAGCGCCAGGGUCCCCUGGGUGCUGCUGGGAGCAGGGGCAGCAGGCCCGAGCUAAGCAGGCUCCGAGCACCUCGGGGAGGAGGACCGCGGUGGCCUUCGUCCCGGGCAGUGGAGCCACAGAGGGCAGAGGCAGGGCAGGCUGCACGGGCGCGUCCUGAGACCACUCUCGCUGCCGCAGAGGAGCUGCUGAGCCUGAGCCUUGGCCUCCCUGCUGGCCGGGCCUCCCGACCCCGGCUCAGGGCUCCUGGGGGGCCUCGGCCCUCGUGGUUACCUUAGCAACACAAACCACCUCAUCCACCCACACCGCUGUGCGCCAGGCCUGUUCCUGCCUGUCCACAUCCCGGCGACACAGACCUGCGGGACAGCCGGGCAGGUGCCCUGCGCCUCCGUCCCCAGGAGCCCCCCAGGGUUUCCAGGUGGGCCUGCGUCUGUCUCCCCCAGGUGCAGCUGGACGCCCUGCACCAGGCCCUCGAACAGAGCAGGCGGCACAGCCAGGGCCUGGCCAGAAAGCUGAGGCUGCUGGAAGACUGCAGGUGCCAGGAGGCCGCGGGGCUGGAGCCCCUGCAGCAGGCCCAGACGGCGGGGCGGGAGCCGUCUGCCCAGCACCAGCAGGACCCGGCUGGGGAGGCAGAGCGUCCGUGUGCGGCUCGGCUGCAGGCCCUGCAGGCCCCGGAGUCCCCCGAGCAGCCCCAUCAGCGGCAAAUAAAGGUGCUGGAGGAGCAGGUGGCCGCCCUGCGGGAGCAGCUGGACCGGGAAGAGCAGCGGCGGCAGCCACAGGCACAGGACGGCCAGGCCGGGCAGUGAGCCCUGUGCGGCCCGCCGGGAGCCACUGCUGGGAACACCAGCCCGUGCUCCGCACCAAGCGCCCAUCAGGGGCCAAUAGGGUGGGCGUGAUGCUGGCAGAGGGUGCAGGGUGUGUGCCCGCACCCUGGAGCCCCCGGGGGGGGGGCGGGCACACGCUGACCCCUCGGACUGCGGGACUCCUCCCGCCCCCGGGGGCCUCGGCCUGCAGCUGGCGCCGGACCUGCCGGGCUCACUCCUCUGCGACAGCCCCAC
This 1141-nucleotide long non-coding RNA is filed under the name Microcebus murinus (gray mouse lemur). RNAcentral's name for it is "lncRNA (ENSMICG00000048547.1)". The record is from RNAcentral. Lineage: Eukaryota; Metazoa; Chordata; Mammalia; Primates; Cheirogaleidae.